AGUUUUGACGAAGGUGCCGCACAUUUGGAUUGUGUCAUCAAUUCAGCAUACGAUCUGUGACAAUUUGGGAUAGCUUUGUACUAAUUCUUCCACAAACCAUACAACCAAUAAUAUCAGAAUACCUUCACGUUACCAAAAUAAGAGAAGGAAACUGAUUUGCAGAACUCGAUGCUACAGUAAAUCCAAAAAUAAAUUUAAGAUUUGCAGCG
RNAcentral lists this long non-coding RNA (209 nucleotides) under Nicotiana benthamiana. RNAcentral's name for it is "long non-coding RNA (NBEN_LNC024824)". The record is from RNAcentral. Lineage: Eukaryota; Viridiplantae; Streptophyta; Magnoliopsida; Solanales; Solanaceae.